This 449-nucleotide ribosomal RNA is filed under the name uncultured bacterium. RNAcentral describes it as "partial 16S ribosomal RNA". It matches the Rfam family "Bacterial small subunit ribosomal RNA", at positions 30 to 523 of the family's 1533-position model. The record is from RNAcentral.
AUUGAACGCUGGCGGCAUGCCUAACACAUGCAAGUCGAACGAAGGCUUCGGCCUUAGUGGCGCACGGGUGAGUAACGCGUGGGAAACUGCCUAUUGGUGGGGAAUAACGACGGGAAACUGUCGCUAAUACCGCAUAAGCCCUUCGGGGGAAAGAUUUAUCGCCGAUAGAUGUGCCCGCGUCCGAUUAGCUAGUUGGUGAGGUAAUGGCUCACCAAGGCGACGAUCGGUAGCUGGUCUGAGGGGAUGAUCAGCCACACUGGGACUGAGACACGGCCCAGACUCCUACGGGAGGCAGCAGUGGGGAAUAUUGGACAAUGGGCGAAAGCCUGAUCCAGCAAUGCCGCGUGAGUGAUGAAGGCCUUAGGGUUGUAAAGCUCUUUCGGGUGGGACGAUGAUGACGGUACCACCAGAAGAAGCCCCGGCUAACUCCGUGCCAGCCGCCGCAGUAA